AUUGAACGCUGGCGGAAUGCUUUACACAUGCAAGUCGAACGGCAGCACGGGGGCAACCCUGGUGGCGAGUGGCGAACGGGUGAGUAAUACAUCGGAACGUGCCCAGUCGUGGGGGAUAACGUAGCGAAAGUUACGCUAAUACCGCAUACGAUCUACGGAUGAAAGCGGGGGACCGUAAGGCCUCGCGCGAUUGGGGCGGCCGAUGUCAGAUUAGGUAGUUGGUGAGGUAAAGGCUCACCAAGCCGACGAUCUGUAGCUGGUCUGAGAGGACGACCAGCCACACUGGGACUGAGAAACGGCCCAGACUCCUACGGGAGGCAGCAGUGGGGAAUUUUGGACAAUGGGCGCAAGCCUGAUCCAGCCAUUCCGCGUGCAGGACGAAGGCCUUCGGGUUGUAAACUGCUUUUGUACGGAACGAAAAGGCUCUGGUUAAUACCUGGGGCUCAUGACGGUACCGUAAGAAUAAGCACCAGCUAACUACGUGCCAGCCGCCGCGGUAA
RNAcentral lists this ribosomal RNA (500 nucleotides) under uncultured bacterium. Its description in RNAcentral is "partial 16S ribosomal RNA". It matches the Rfam family "Bacterial small subunit ribosomal RNA", at positions 30 to 523 of the family's 1533-position model. The record is from RNAcentral.